Molecule: long non-coding RNA, 882 nt
Organism: Cygnus atratus (black swan)
Lineage: Eukaryota; Metazoa; Chordata; Aves; Anseriformes; Anatidae
Exons: 4
Source: RefSeq, a predicted model, not a curated record
GUCCUUAUUUCCUAAGGGAAUGCAGAUACGGGCAGGUUCAGUGGGUGUCCAGAGCAGGCAGCACGGCCAGGACGAGCACAUGGCAGGAGCAGCGAGGGAGGUGGUGCGUGGUGUGCAGUACAAGGAGCCUGAAAGCAAGAGCUGCUCAGCAGGGCAGUGAAGUUGUUUUGCAAGACAGGUGGCUGUGGGGUCUCUUUGGUCAGCGGGAUUGGAAGAGAGCCGUCGUCUGCUUCCUCGAUGGUCUGCCAGCCCAUGUGUUUGGGAAGGCAAAUCUGAAAGGAAGCUGUUGAGCACUCUUCUGUGUGAGUUCCUCAGACGAUGGUUGUGUUUCUCCCCCUCGUUCCACCCGUUUUCAAAUAAUUUUCAUGCUGGGAAUAAAUCUGAGCGCAUAACAAUAAUGUUCAGCAUAUGAUAACCAAGACAAUUGUAUAUAUACAAGCAGCCACAUGGAAAACAAAUGAGCUGAUGGAAAGACAGGAAAAAAAGUGCAAGAUGAACCAGAGACACAGUUACCAUUUUCACAGUAAGACCAAAUAACUUUGCCAUUUCCAUGUAACUACUCUUUUUUUUUAUUUCCCCAGGAAAAUAGGAUUCUGAAAAACAUUUUUAGUUACUAAUUUAUUUAUUUUUCUCAACAAUUUAUGCGAUGGUGGGAAAAACCUGUCUCCCGUCAGCCAGUAUGCUAUGGGCCAACUACACUUGAGGAACACAAAGCUGAAUUCUUCCCUGAAUUUUGUCUAUGAGUUUCUAUUGAAUUCAGUGGCGUUUUGUAGCUGGAGCUUGGGAUUUUGACACUACUGUAUGAAUUAAAGAACAGAGAGGUCUAAACUAUUUGUAUAUUUUUAAAUGCCAAAUACACUGGGCUGCUGCUGCUAUCUUGAA